GAUGAACGCUGGCGGCGUGCCUAAUACAUGCAAGUCGAGCGAACAGACGAGGAGCUUGCUCCUCUGACGUUAGCGGCGGACGGGUGAGUAACACGUGGAUAACCUACCUCUAAGACUGGGAUAACUUCGGGAAACCGGAGCUAAUACCGGAUAAUAUAUUGAACCGCAUGGUUCAAUAGUGAAAGACGGUUUUGCUGUCACUUAUAGAUGGAUCCGCGCUGCAUUAGCUAGUUGGUAAGGUAACGGCUUACCAAGGCAACGAUGCGUAGCCGACCUGAGAGGGUGAUCGGCCACACUGGAACUGAGACACGGUCCAGACUCCUACGGGAGGCAGCAGUAGGGAAUCUUCCGCAAUGGGCGAAAGCCUGACGGAGCAACGCCGCGUGAGUGAUGAAGGUCUUCGGAUCGUAAAACUCUGUUAUUAGGGAAGAACAAAUGUGUAAGUAACUAUGCACGUCUUGACGGUACCUAAUCAGAAAGCCACGGCUAACUACGUG
This 497-nucleotide ribosomal RNA is filed under the name uncultured bacterium. RNAcentral's name for it is "partial 16S ribosomal RNA". It matches the Rfam family "Bacterial small subunit ribosomal RNA", at positions 28 to 507 of the family's 1533-position model. The record is from RNAcentral.